UAUCUCUCCAGUUGGCCCUCCUGUUGGCCCAUGGUCUCCGCUGUCGUCGUCUUCCCCCCAAAUCCCGAAACCUCUCUGCGUGCGCACACCCAGCUGCUUGGCGGCGGGCAUGGCGCACCGUGGUGCGGCUCCUCCCUGGCACUGCCUCCAGGAGCACGUCCCUACUGCUUGGUGGCGGUGUACAGGGGUGCGGCUCCUCCACGGCGCUGCCUCCCGUCGCUGUCCUGAAUCUUGCGGCAACCCCCCGCGGUGGUAGCUCUCGGCCAGCACAUGGAGGCGCUCCGAGAGGUGGGUUUGACCCGCAGCAUCCAGCAGCACGGCGCGACUCCCCACCACCGGUGACUCCUUUCUCACAUGGACCACCAUACUGGUGGCCUCCGUACUUCAACUCUACCAAGACACACCGUCCCUCGGCUCCACAGAUCGCGGUCGCUGCACUUCUUUCCUCCGUUCCCAACUUGAACAAUUCCACUGGAAUAUAUAGGCCGGACAAAAUUUUCUUCAAUUGGUGGCACUAUGAGGAUAAAUUAGCAUAGUUGAUGCAGUCUUCAAAUGAAUUUACUUUCGAUUUGUGACACUACAGACGUGUUCUUUAACUGUUCGUACAGUUGCCCUUAGGCUACAAAGAUUAAAAGGUACUCCCUAUGCCCCAUAAUAUAAGAUCGUUUUGCAAUCUGUUUGGGACGGAGAGAGUAAUAUCUACAGAAAGAGUUGUACAACUAUAUAUUUCUGAGAGCUAAUCUUAUUUGUAGCGCAUUGUUUAGUUUUCAUGUUUAGGUGGUUGAAGUUAUUUUUUACUGCAUAACCCACAAAUUAAGCAACUGGCACCAUCUGUUGAGAAGGUCAUCAGCCUCAACAUUUCUGAGAUAUUGGAAGUACAACUCAAUUAGUUAUUAUAGCUCUCAGAUUAGAUCUCUGUUUAUUUAGAUUCGGAACAUUUUGCCCAAUGAUUAGAGUUAGAGCCUUGAACAACUUAGAUAUUUGACUUAUUUUUGUUCACUGGUUCAGUGCACACAUGGACAGUUGAAUCAAGAUUGCAUAUCACAUUAGUAAGUGACUAU
This 1061-nucleotide ribosomal RNA is filed under the name Triticum aestivum (bread wheat). RNAcentral describes it as "partial small subunit ribosomal RNA". The record is from RNAcentral. Lineage: Eukaryota; Viridiplantae; Streptophyta; Magnoliopsida; Poales; Poaceae.